GACGAACGCUGGCGGCGUGCUUAACACAUGCAAGUCGAACGGAAAGGCCCUGCUUGCAGGGUACUCGAGUGGCGAACGGGGGAGUAACACGUGGGUGAUCUGCCCUGCACUUCGGGAUAAGCCUGGGAAACUGGGUCUAAUACCGGAUAGGAGCCAUUUUUAGUGUGAUUGUUGGAAAGUUUUUUCGGUGUAGGAUGAGCUCGCGGCCUAUCAGCUUGUUGGUGGGGUAAUGGCCUACCAAGGCGGCGACGGGUAGCCGGCCUGAGAGGGUGGACGGCCACAUUGGGACUGAGAUACGGCCCAGAAUCCUACGGGAGGCAGCAGUGGGGAAUAUUGCACAAUGGGCGCAAGCCUGAUGCAGCGACGCCGCGGGGGGGAUGACGGCCUUUGGGUUGUAAACGCCUUUCGCUAGGGACGAAGCUUUUUGUGACGGUACCUAGAUAAGAAGCACCGGCUAACUACGUG
RNAcentral lists this ribosomal RNA (465 nucleotides) under uncultured bacterium. Its description in RNAcentral is "partial 16S ribosomal RNA". It matches the Rfam family "Bacterial small subunit ribosomal RNA", at positions 28 to 507 of the family's 1533-position model. The record is from RNAcentral.